UACAGAGGUCUCAAGCGUUGUUCGGAUUCAUUGGGCGUAAAGGGUGCGUAGGUGGCGUAGAAAGUUGAGUGUGAAAUCCUGGGGCUUAACCUCAGAACUGCACUCAAUACUCCCACGCUUGAGGAAUGUAGAGGAGAGUGGAAUUCACGGUGUAGCAGUGAAAUGCGUAGAUAUCGUGAGGAAGACCAGUUGCGAAGGCGACUCUCUGGGCAUUUCCUGACACUGAGGCACGAAGGCCAGGGGAGCAAACGGG
Molecule: ribosomal RNA, 253 nt
Filed under: uncultured Spartobacteria bacterium
Lineage: Bacteria; Pseudomonadati; Verrucomicrobiota; Spartobacteria
Description: partial 16S ribosomal RNA
Rfam family: Bacterial small subunit ribosomal RNA
Source: RNAcentral